Small nuclear RNA from Ornithorhynchus anatinus (platypus), 166 nucleotides. RefSeq annotates it as U1 spliceosomal RNA. The record is from RefSeq and is a predicted model, not a curated record. Lineage: Eukaryota; Metazoa; Chordata; Mammalia; Monotremata; Ornithorhynchidae. The transcript has a single exon.
CUACUUACCUGGCAGGGGAGACACCAUGAUCAACGUAGGUGGUUUUCCCAGGGUGAGGCUCCGCCAUUGCACUUUGGGCUGUGCUGACCCCUGCGAUUUCCCCAAGUGCGGGAAAACUCGACUGCAUAAUUGGUGGUAGUGGGGGACUGCGUUCGCGCCCCCCCUG